AUUAAAUCUCAAAUCAACUUCUGCAAAUGAUUUAAUAUAAUAAAGUUUAAUCUCUUUAUCAUGUAGAUUUAGGACGUAGAAAAAUUUAAAAAUGAUGAGAAAUGGCUUCUAGGAAUUUCAAUUCAGAAUUAAAAACUAAACCAUUCAUGUGUGAAAUUCCUAUAGAGGUUUAAUUUCUGGAAGAAUAGCAAUUUAGUAAAAUUUUUUAGCAGUUUGGACAUUGGCAUCAUACAUGGAUAACAAGAACUCUGCCUACCUGCAACUGUUCUUCAACAUUCUGGACCUAUCUGUCCUAAAUACGUCAUAUGAACAUAAAUUUAUGAAAAUCUGUAAUGCAUAUGUGCAUUUGCCAUCUC
Molecule: unclassified non-coding RNA, 356 nt
Filed under: Hevea brasiliensis (rubber tree)
Lineage: Eukaryota; Viridiplantae; Streptophyta; Magnoliopsida; Malpighiales; Euphorbiaceae
Source: RNAcentral